RNAcentral lists this transfer RNA (72 nucleotides) under Habropoda radoszkowskii. RNAcentral describes it as "tRNA-Val". The record is from RNAcentral. Lineage: Eukaryota; Metazoa; Arthropoda; Insecta; Hymenoptera; Apidae.
AAAAUUUUAGUUUAUUAACUAAAAUAAUUCAUUUACACUGAAAAGAUUAAAACUUUUAAGUUUAAAAUUUUA